UCGCAAGACACGGGGUGCCCCGAGACACGGGGCUGAGAUAAGACCCGUCGAACCUGAACUCAUUCGUAUGAGCGGAGGGAUGUCAUGAUGCGGCGGC
This 97-nucleotide non-coding RNA is filed under the name Acidipropionibacterium acidipropionici. RNAcentral's name for it is "TPP sequence". It matches the Rfam family "TPP riboswitch aptamer (THI element)". Rfam says of the family: Vitamin B(1) in its active form thiamin pyrophosphate (TPP) is an essential coenzyme that is synthesised by coupling of pyrimidine and thiazole moieties in bacteria. Lineage: Bacteria; Bacillati; Actinomycetota; Actinomycetes; Propionibacteriales; Propionibacteriaceae. The record is from RNAcentral.